UUACGGCCACAUCUUGUCGAAAUACCGGUUCCCUUACGAUCACUAAAAUCAAGCAACGUUGAACUUGGUCAGUAUUUAGAUGGGUGAGCAUUUGGUAAUAUCAGGUGCUGUAAG
This is a non-coding RNA of Acanthosepion pharaonis, 114 nucleotides long. The record is from the annotation of a GenBank genome assembly. NCBI's taxonomy places the organism in Eukaryota, Metazoa, Mollusca, Cephalopoda, Sepiida, Sepiidae.